RNAcentral lists this signal recognition particle RNA (291 nucleotides) under Cebus imitator (Panamanian white-faced capuchin). Its description in RNAcentral is "Metazoan signal recognition particle RNA (ENSCCAG00000001602.1)". It matches the Rfam family "Metazoan signal recognition particle RNA". From Rfam's summary of the family: The signal recognition particle (SRP) is a universally conserved ribonucleoprotein. It is involved in the co-translational targeting of proteins to membranes. The record is from RNAcentral. Lineage: Eukaryota; Metazoa; Chordata; Mammalia; Primates; Cebidae.
ACCAGGCACGGUGACACGUGCCUGUAGUCCCAGCUACUCGGGAGGCUGAGGAUCGCUUGAGCCCAGGAGUUCUGGGCUGUAGUGCGCUAUGCCGAUCAGGUGUCCGCACUAAGUUCGGCAUCAAUAUGGUGACUCCAGGGAAUGGGGGACCACCAGGUUGCCUAAGGAGGGGUGAACCGGCCCAGGUCCGAAAUGGAGCCGGUCAAAACUCCCGUGCUGAUCAGUAGUGGGAUUGCACCUGUGAAUAGCCGCUGCACUCCAGCCUGGGCAACAUAGCGAGACCCCGUCUCU